UAAGGAAUAUUGGUCAAUGGGCGCAAGCCUGAACCAGCCAUGCCGCGUGAAGGAUGACGGCCCUAUGGGUUGUAAACUUCUUUUGUACGGGAAAAAACCACCGGUCGUGUAUCGGUGCUGAUGGUACCGUAAGAAUAAGCAUCGGCUAACUCCGUGCCAGCAGCCGCGGUAAUACGGAGGAUGCAAGCGUUAUCCGGAUUCAUUGGGUUUAAAGGGUGCGCAGGCGGAGUGAUAAGUCAGUGGUGAAAGCCUACAGCUUAACUGUAGAACUGCCAUUGAUACUGUCAUUCUUGAGUAUUGUUGAGGUAGGCGGAAUGUGUCAUGUAGCGGUGAAAUGCUUAGAUAUGACACAGAACACCGAUCGCGAAGGCAGCUUACCAAGCAAUAACUGACGCUCAUGCACGAAAGCGUGGGGAUCAAACAGG
This 425-nucleotide ribosomal RNA is filed under the name uncultured bacterium. RNAcentral describes it as "bacterial SSU rRNA". It matches the Rfam family "Bacterial small subunit ribosomal RNA", at positions 355 to 776 of the family's 1533-position model. The record is from RNAcentral.